RNAcentral lists this ribosomal RNA (253 nucleotides) under uncultured bacterium. RNAcentral describes it as "partial 16S ribosomal RNA". It matches the Rfam family "Bacterial small subunit ribosomal RNA", at positions 524 to 776 of the family's 1533-position model. The record is from RNAcentral.
UACGGAGGGUGCAAGCGUUGUCCGGAUUUAUUGGGUUUAAAGCGCACGUAGGCGGACUCUUAAGUCGGUGGUGAAAUCCUGGAGCUCAACUCCAGAACUGCCUUCGAUACUGAGAGUCUCGAGUCCGGGAGAGGUGAGUGGAACUGCGAGUGUAGAGGUGAAAUUCGUAGAUAUUCGCAAGAACACCAGUGGCGAAGGCGGCUCACUGGCCCGGUACUGACGCUGAGGUGCGAAAGCGUGGGGAGCAAACAGG